UUUAUAAAUAAAACACACAUUACAUAAAAGCCAAGUUUCACCAAUGAGCUGAAAUGAGACAGUAUCAACCAAAUUUCAGCAACAUUGCUAAUACAAUUACUUUAAAAACAAAUAUCACGAAGACCAUCCCCACUAAGACUUUCAACCACUUUUCCAACAUAACUAAAGUUUUCUCUACAAAAGCCAUUAUCAUCUUUUCACCAUAUUUUUCUUCCAUCUGUAGCACACUGUGUUCCAUGCUCAUCACACCCACUUCUUCAUUUCUUACACUUCCACUUCUUUCUUCUACAUUCAGUCCAUCUCCUUCAUUUCCUUCUUCAAUGCACCACUAAAAGAAGUUACAGCCAAGCAAAUCUUCACUCCCACCCUAUUAAAGAAGAAGAAUCACUCCUUCAUCAAAACCUAAAU
Molecule: long non-coding RNA, 408 nt
Filed under: Vigna radiata
Lineage: Eukaryota; Viridiplantae; Streptophyta; Magnoliopsida; Fabales; Fabaceae
Description: long non-coding RNA (VRAD_LNC008841)
Source: RNAcentral